This 152-nucleotide ribosomal RNA is filed under the name Eustrongylides sp. 67 XF-2009. Its description in RNAcentral is "partial 18S ribosomal RNA". Lineage: Eukaryota; Metazoa; Nematoda; Enoplea; Dioctophymatida; Dioctophymatidae. The record is from RNAcentral.
UUGGAUGAUUCCGUGAGUCUCGACGGUGCUUCGUGAUGAUCCGUGCGAUGGCUGUGCGUAGAAAGUCGACCGACCCACCAUCUAGAGAAGUAAAGUCGUACAAGGUUUCGUAGGUGAACUGCGGAAGGAUCAUACUGUUGAACAGUGUGGUG